This 65-nucleotide transfer RNA is filed under the name Nostoc punctiforme PCC 73102. RNAcentral's name for it is "tRNA-Pro". The record is from RNAcentral. Lineage: Bacteria; Bacillati; Cyanobacteriota; Cyanophyceae; Nostocales; Nostocaceae.
GAUGUAUUAGGGCUUAUACGCCACUUUGGGGUAGUGGAGGUCGUGGGUUCGAAUCCCGCCGCUCC